GAUUACAAUAAACCUUUGAGUAGUAAACAAAUGUUUUGUUUUAAUUCUAGAAGUGAAAACAGAUGAUCUAUCCCUGGACAAUUCCUUGGAGAAGAAAAAUGUGGAAGACAUUGAGUUUUAUGAAGAAAAUGAUGAAAUUCCUUAUUUUCCUCAAGAUUUUGAAGUUGCAAAAUAUAACAUAUUAGAAAAAGUAGGAGUGGAUGGAGGCCAAGAAACAGCUGUGGUGGAGCUGCAGUGCACCCUGGAGCCUGGAGAUUGUCCUUUUAUGGUAUCUGCACAUUUCCUCCUGGCUGAUGGUGUGCAGGUAAAAUUCUUUAUGUUGAUUCCUGUUGCUAACCAGUUUCCUUGAAACUCAUUAAGAAACCA
This 366-nucleotide long non-coding RNA is filed under the name Ictidomys tridecemlineatus (thirteen-lined ground squirrel). RNAcentral describes it as "lncRNA (ENSSTOG00000032193.1)". The record is from RNAcentral. Lineage: Eukaryota; Metazoa; Chordata; Mammalia; Rodentia; Sciuridae.